RNAcentral lists this ribosomal RNA (952 nucleotides) under Natrinema sp. RNAcentral describes it as "bacterial SSU rRNA". It matches the Rfam family "Archaeal small subunit ribosomal RNA", at positions 399 to 1344 of the family's 1478-position model. The record is from RNAcentral. Lineage: Archaea; Methanobacteriati; Methanobacteriota; Halobacteria; Halobacteriales; Natrialbaceae.
AGUCCUCGCUUUUCCACGACCCGUAAAGGUGGUCGUAGAAUAAGUGCUGGGCAAGACCGGUGCCAGCCGCCGCGGUAAUACCGGCAGCACAAGUGAUGACCGCUAUUAUUGGGCCUAAAGCGUCCGUAGCUGGCCACGCAAGUCUAUCGGGAAAUCCGCGCGCUUAACGCGCGGGCGUCCGGUGGAAACUGCGUGGCUUGGGACCGGAAGACCAGAGGGGUACGUCCGGGGUAGGAGUGAAAUCCCGUAAUCCUGGACGGACCACCGGUGGCGAAAGCGCCUCUGGAAGACGGAUCCGACGGUGAGGGACGAAAGCUCGGGUCACGAACCGGAUUAGAUACCCGGGUAGUCCGAGCUGUAAACGAUGUCUGCUAGGUGUGGCACAGGCUACGAGCCUGUGCUGUGCCGUAGGGAAGCCGUGAAGCAGACCGCCUGGGAAGUACGUCCGCAAGGAUGAAACUUAAAGGAAUUGGCGGGGGAGCACUACAACCGGAGGAGCCUGCGGUUUAAUUGGACUCAACGCCGGACAUCUCACCAGCAUCGACAAUGUGCAGUGAACGUCAGGUUGAUGACCUUACUGGAGCCAUUGAGAGGAGGUGCAUGGCCGCCGUCAGCUCGUACCGUGAGGCGUCCUGUUAAGUCAGGCAACGAGCGAGACCCGCACUCCUAAUUGCCAGCAACACCCUCGUGGUGGUUGGGUACAUUAGGAGGACUGCCAGUGCCAAACUGGAGGAAGGAACGGGCAACGGUAGGUCAGUAUGCCCCGAAUGUGCUGGGCGACACGCGGGCUACAAUGGCCGAGACAGUGGGAUGCAACCCCGAAAGGGGACGCUAAUCUCCGAAACUCGGUCGUAGUUCGGAUUGAGGGCUGAAACUCGCCCUCAUGAAGCUGGAUUCGGUAGUAAUCGCGCCUCAGAAGGGCGCGGUGAAUACGUCCCUGCUCCUUGCACAC